UACGUAGGGUGCAAGCGUUGUCCGGAAUUAUUGGGCGUAAAGAGCUCGUAGGCGGUCUGUCGCGUCUGCUGUGAAAACUCAGGGCUUAACCCUGAGCUUGCAGUGGGUACGGGCAGACUAGAGUGCGGUAGGGGAGACUGGAAUUCCUGGUGUAGCGGUGAAAUGCGCAGAUAUCAGGAGGAACACCCGGGGCGAAGGCGGCCCUCUGGCUCGACCCUGACGCUGAGGCGCGAAAGCGUGGGGAGCGAACGGG
This 253-nucleotide ribosomal RNA is filed under the name uncultured bacterium. RNAcentral's name for it is "partial 16S ribosomal RNA". It matches the Rfam family "Bacterial small subunit ribosomal RNA", at positions 524 to 776 of the family's 1533-position model. The record is from RNAcentral.